Molecule: long non-coding RNA, 12318 nt
Filed under: Homo sapiens (human)
Lineage: Eukaryota; Metazoa; Chordata; Mammalia; Primates; Hominidae
Description: non-protein coding lnc-AKAP1-7:1
Source: RNAcentral
CAACAAAUGGGUUUAGUUGCACAGUGCCCAGCAUGGGCUGCUGUCCGGCAACUAAAGUCGUGGUUGAGAGUAUGGAGAAGGGAUACUGUUUUCCUUCCAUUUCCGGUAGUUGCUCACUACCAUGACCCUGUUGUUGUGAUAGCUCUUUGCUGUCCUUUCUACCUCACCUUCACCCUAUCCUCAGCUAUAAUACCGUUUAGCUUUGCAGAUUAGGAGCUGGGUGAAUAUAAUGGUUCGAGUGAAUGGAUGAAUGAGAAUAGUCAUUGUAGGCACUGCUGAGGCUUUUUCAUACAUCCCCACAUUUAAUGUUUACAGUCUAGCCCCUCCAUUUACCUAAUGGGUGACUGAUACUCAGAGAGGUUAAGUAACUUGACCAAGGUCACACAGCCAGUAGGAGGUGGAGAUUGGGAUUUGAACCCAGGAAUCCUGUUUGACGAUAGCUCCUUGACCCCUAGGUGGGCUCCUGCAUUUGUACUCAGGGGCAAGGCAUCAGUAGUUGGCAGAGAUCUUAGCUUGAUGCCCAAGGCCUUGCUGAGUAGAGAAGGGAGUUCAAGAGAGGCUUGGAGAUGGUCCCUUUUUGGAGCAACCUCUGACUGCAGGGAGGUCAGUUGAGACCCUGGACAGGCAUCCAAGCAUUUGGAGGAGGGUUGAUGCUGGAGCAGGAGCAGCAUCUUCACAGGCUGUGGUCACUCCUGAGCUGGGGGAAGCCACCCUGCCUGUCUCCUCUCCCUACCCCAUCCCCGCCUUAGUUGUCAGUGAAUGCGGUCUUUUCUGAGCUAAUUAGAAAUCUCAAUAGGAUCGAGAAUAGCUGCCGAAGACAAACGCCCCUUUUAAGUGCUAUCAGUGCAUGGGAGAGGGGGCUUGCAGAACUGUUCUUAGAGCUUGGGUGCCUGAUGUGUGCCAGUUGCUGCAUGACGUCUGCCGAGCCCCAGGUGCACCCAUGGGGUCAUGCAUGUACACACACUGGUGUUCCCACACCCCCCUCUUCCUGCACUGCCAUGCCCCACCGCCCUUCCCCCACCCACUGCUGAAGUCUUAGCUUUCAAGUGCAGGUGUUGAGGUUAAUAACAAGAAGUAUCCCAGUUGGCCAUUUGCAUAUGAGACUUCUCACUGGGUUCUAAAGGUGGGAAGGAAGGGAUUUAAAAAGAUCACGGGCGUGAAAGCUGGAAACAGUGGCGUCCAUUGCUUGGGGCAAGGAUUGACUAGAGGUGAUUUUAUGUGCUGACCGCUCCUGUAGAAAGAGAAGCUUAGGCAGAUGUCAUGCCCUGCCUGUGCCCACCCAACCUUUCUCCCCCUGGCUGGAGCACUCACUCCAAGCCAAUAGCCCAGCUUCCCUGGAUCCCUCAGCUCCAAAGGGUUGCCUCCUACUCCACUUGCUGCAUAGAGGGGUUUUCUGGAACAGAGAAUGUGCUGGACCUAGAGCCCCUCGUCCUGGGGCUCAAGGACCCAGCUCAUGUGACCUUCAGCAGGUCUCUCCUGCUGCUGCCCCAGGACUGGCCACACACCAGGGCUCUGUCCCCCGACUUCCUCACUAGACCCUCAGGCCAUCUGGUCGUGAGGUUUUUACUGCUAACGGGACAGAGUAACGCACAUAACCCAUGGGGGAGUUGCAGCGGUCUAAUUGAAGUUCAGAGUGAUGUUCACUGGUCUGUAAUUCCUGACUCCCUUCCUGAGAGAGUCCUGGGAACUGAGCUUGGCUUUCUGCCUGCUGCUUGUCUCUGAUUAUGGAGACCAGCCAGCACCCCCCAACCCAGCCCCCCACUCACUGCCCUGCUGCAUCCAGCCCCUGGGUCUUCCACCUCCUGGCACGCUCUAGCCUAGGCCUGAAGUAGCAGGGCCAGACGCUAGGUGUCGCCGUCCUGGACCUGCCUCCAUCCCCGGAGGUCUUGGCUCAUGGGCUUUCUUGAUCUCUGAGUGUCUUUUUUAAUCCCUAUUGCCCAGCAACGGCUUCCUUGGUUAGAGACAGUCUGGCAAGUUUCCUCUGGUUCAAACUUACGUUUGAAGUUUUUCUACAACCAGAAGGUGAUUCUCUGGCUUCUGAGCUUCACCCAACCCUCUCUGAGCCCCAACAUGGGGGAACACUGGUCUCUUCUUUCUGUGACUGGUCAUCUUUUACAGCUUUGAUUCAUGCUCUUAGUUUCCAGUUUUAUAUGUGCUUAAGCAUUAUAAGACACCUCAGUAUUUUUAGGAAAUAAGUGGGGACAUAAAUAUAAACAACCCGGAAAUCACUGCCCCUAGAAUUCACAGAGUGGAAGAACCAAGCUUUUUAGGGCUGAUGUGGCGUGGGCUGGGAGACUUCUCUUUUGAGAGGCUGAUACUGGUCUUUGAAUGAACUCUUUACCCCACCAAAAGUAGAAAAAGGAUUCCAGUGACUUCAGAAAUUUUUGUUGUUGUUUUGAGAAUGUUGGCACCACUGGGAAUAAUGAGAGACGCCUGGCCUAUUCAAAAGUGGCAUCAGAAACCUCAGUGUUGGAAAUGCAGCCUUUGGUUGUCCAUCCCCGCAGCUAGAGCAUGAGCCCCCCAAGGCCAGACUCGAGGGCUCAGCGCUUCAGUUGAGUAGUCCUGAUUGAACUAGGCUCAUGGGCACAGAGCACUGGACUGGGGACCAUAGUGGAUGCCAAGGUGAAAGCUGUUUGGGAAGGCAGAAUGAAUGUAUCAUCUUUCACUCGGCAAUUUUUCAAAAUUCAGCCACAGGUCUUCCUGGACCCCUAGCCAGGUUUUGAUUUUCUAGGCUGGGAUGAAAGAUGAAAGAGACGUUUAUUUGGUGGGAGGGGGAUUGGGACAUUGAGCUGCUUUUAAAUGAUGUUAAGAAUCCCAUUCUUCUCCCUGCUUUCCCACUUCUGCCCUGGUGUUGACUUUGAAAAACCUUCCAAGACAGGCUGAGGCUAAGGAGAUGGGGGAGCUUUCCUGAGCAGCUUUCUGAGGUCCGUUUUUUUCUUUUGAAAUAGACUGGAAAUCUAUCUCGGCUCUGAAUCAUCCUUCGAUUCUCAUCGCGGAGGGGCAGAGAGGAGGGUGCACGGGCAGCCCAGCUCAUGUGCCUUUGUGGCCAUCCCUCCUCCUGGCCAAGAGAUAACCGGUUGUUUUUGAAAGUCCUGUGUUUAUCGCGAGAGAGCAGUGUGGUCAGAGAGGCGGUGAGGAAAGAGCCGGCAGCCCUUCUGUGAUGGAUGGGUAGCCGACUUUUCUUGUGAAGCAAAGGCAGCCCACAAGUUUGUCUCUUUCAAGAGAAGAAAUUUAAAGCAAAGCUCCAGAGAGAGAAGUUUUUUCAGUCUGGUCCUUCAUGUAGGCUUAACAAUUCUAGGAGGGCCCUGAAAAUGGCAGAGACCUCAAUUCUCCCCUCCCUCCCUGCCCCUUUAUGGGCUCCCUAACUAGAGAGGUUUGCAAAGCUUAAGGGGAUUAAUGCUCUUUAAACCUCUGCACUCCUUCCUGCUCCUCAUGGGAUCCGGGUGCUAAUAAAGAUGUACUAGCUUGGAAAGGCUGGUAAACGCUGCUUUGUUGCCACGGCAACAGGCGAAACAAGAACGACACCAAGUAUUGCUAAGAAGAGUCCUUAGGAUCAAGAGUUUGGGGCGGGGGAGGGGGGGGAUGGUUCUUAAAAAUGCAGAGAGUCUUGGCAAGGUAAUUAGACUUGGUGCUCUCAAAGUAAAUUCAUAGUUUUAUGGAGCAUUACUAGAGAGCCUUGUUACUUGCAAAGUCACCCUCCAUCAAGUAGAAGGAACAGCUGAGAGCCGCCAGCAUCUGCCGCCAGUUGCUCCAGUGAGGCUGGGGUGUUGCGUCCUGAGACACCAUCCCCCCUCUCCUCCUCAGCAAGUAGUCAAUGUGUGCACACGCGCUUGUUUGGGAAGCGUUAAAAAGCUCUAUUUCCUGCCUCCUUGGUGUUGAAAGAUAUGAGGGAAUGUUCUACACCUGCCUUCUAUCCGGGAUGAUGUUAUUGUUUUUAACAAGGAUGAUAAGACAGUAGCUAAGCACUCCGUAAGCCUGUGUACUGGGCUGAGCAAUUCUUUUGCUUUAUCUCAUUUCACCUUCAGGCUGACCCUGUGUGGUGUAGCUGUUAUUAUGCCUGUUUUUUCUGAUGAAGAAACAGAAGGGUUAAGGAACUUGCCCAUGGACACACAGCCAAUGACAGAGCUAGGGUCUGAACAGGUGUGGCUAUAAAGCCUGGGCUUUGGCCCGUGGGCCAUAUCUUUACAGACUCACAACCAUCCCUUCCUGCUGCUCGAAUUUUCAUUCUUGAGGCAUGAGCAGCGCCUGCAGCCCCUGCUGGGAUGUUUUGCUCAAACCUGCUGAGACUUCCAAGGGAGCCUGGGACUCUGCUCUCCUACUCCUUUCCUCCCUUGUGUUUGGGCACUCGGCUGAGCUCCUUGGAAAGAUUUCUGCUUCCUGUGGGUGAGAAGUAGGGCAGUGUGAGGAGGCAGGGCUGCUAGGCUAAGAUCCCAGGCUGCCCCACUGACCCAUGUCCCUUCCUGGGUAAUGGUGCCCAGUUGCUCAAGCCAUACCUGAGGCUUCAGCCCGGGCCCCAUCUCCCACACAUCUAGCCAGCGUCCGCACCGCCAGCUCUGGGUCGCCCUGUCCUCUGCACCCACCGCCAUGCUCUGUUUCAGACACCUAUCCCAUCUGUCCCUGGCAGAGCAGCAACUCUCCGGGGACUCCUGCCUCCAGGCCUGUGACCCAUUUAGAGGGAUCUUUCUGAAAUGUGAUUCUGGUCGUGCCAAGUUUAGUGGCUGCCUGCUCAGGCGCCUCAGUGUGGCCUCCAGGGUAGGCGUGAUGGAGCCUACCUCUCCAUUCCCUGUCCGCUGGGGUUCCCUGCUCAGCGCAGCAGGGACCCCAGCAGCUCCUCAACCAGCCAGGUUCCCUGUCAACUUUUGCACAUAUUAACCCCUACCCACCUUUCCUUUGAUAAACUCCUGAGGGUCCUCAGAUGGGUGCCCCUUCCUCCCUCCUGAACCCCCUGAGCAUGCCUCCAUCAUUAUUUCCCUACACUGACUCCCCCAGUUACUAUGAGGAUCUUAACUGCAGGAGACCAUAUUCUGUUCCUCUUGGUGUCCCCAGUACCUGGGACAUAAUAGGUACUUGGUAUAUGCUUAUUAACCAGAAGAGUGAUGGUGUUUAUCCUCACCAGGUUGCUAUGGCAACAGAUGCUGCAGCCCCUCGAGGCCAAGUGACUUGAGACCUUGGAGGUCCAAAGGUCACACAACUACCUUCCUGGGGCCCCACCUGGCAUCCUCCUCUCCCUACAGCCAGGACAGGCUGCCCAGCCUCAGAACCACCACUUGUUGUGACUAUUAAACCCCAUGUCCCAAUGAUGCCUGGAGACCAUGCCUCAGGCACUUUACACUGUUAGUGGUAAUGGUGACACAUUAUCUGAGUUUUGUUGCUUGUAAAUUUCUUUUAUGCUGAUAAGCUUGGAACUGGAUUGGAAUUGAGUGGGGGACAUUGUCCAGUGUCCAUCAAGAAUGUAAUGGUAAACAUUUAAUGUUUUUUUCUCCUUCUUCCCCACAGUAUCAGUUUUCUUAUUGAAUUUGGGAAGCAAUAGCAAUUGAUUAAGUUGCAGUGGAGCUUGCCCUAAAAGGAAAUGAUUGAUAAUCCGUUUAGGUCUGGCUUGCUCGCUUUUCCCCUCCUGAUUUCCUUGGCCACUUUUUCAAUUACCAACUGUAUUUAGCUUGGUUUGCUUGUUGUAACUCAUUUCCCCUUCCUCCAGGAUCUGCAGGGAAGUUGUAAUGUAAUGUUAGAUCUUUGGGGUGGGAGGGAGGUCAGGGCGUCCAGUGACAUCACAGCCUCCUGUCACUGGACUCAGAGCCCAUGUGGGCUCCUGAGGCAAGCUCAUAGGAUUGUUUUGCAAGUGGACUGAUUGGCUGGUUGGGUCUUUGCCAUUAAGUGAGUUUAUGAGGCCCUCACUACUGGGAGAGAGGCUUUGCAGAGGCUUGCGGCACUAUGACGAGGGUCACACCUGAUGUUCAGAGCUUUUUGUUUCUUUAGCUAAUAUCUUUAAGGUAAAACCAUCUACAAAGUACUUUUACCCACUCAGUGACAGCUUGAGAUCCUCCCAACAGUACUAAUAAAAGAAAGGAGAAAUUGAAUUAGCAGCUAUGUUUACCCUCCCAAAUUAAUAUAUGUAUAAUGUCUGGCCUUAUUUGGUGUUUAGUAAUGCAUGCUGUCAUGGCCACCUUCUCAGUGGAAGCACCGGGUGUGGGAUCUCCCUGUUUCACAGGUGGAUUGGCUGAGGCCUGAAAUGGAGAAGGGACUUGUCCAAGAUGGUUCAGGGCAUGGAGUAUGGAGCCCACUGUUGGGAUCGCCAAGAUGCCCGAUAAUAGCGUUCCUCAUCCCUGCCUGAGGAGUGAACAGACUGAGGGGUAAGCCAAAGGCAUGGCAGAUGGUACACGGAAAUAUCACCUUCUUAAGAAACGUUAACGAUGAGGGGCAGGCCGCCUGCAUGAGAAUUCCUCAGUCAUAGGCAACCAGAUGGGAGGUGGGCUGACUUACAUGGGACAGCCAGGGCAGCAUCUUGCUACCUCUUUUUACGCAAGAUGAGUCCAGGAAUAUUCCACACAAAAAAAGCACAGGAGUCACUCAGGACCUGGAGGCUUUUCCCAAGACAUCAUGAUGGAGUCUUCAGGGUCUGCCCCAGGGGCCAAAGCCCCCUUUCCCGCUCCUGCCAGACUCUCAUGCAUAACAAGUUUGGAAUGAAUUUGGCAAUGCCAUCACCACCCAGCUCACUUCUCAGUUACUUUCUGUUUGCUGUGUACUCUGGAAGGUGUGGAUUACCCAGGGAGAACCCUGCCUUGAAGGGUGUGUGGCCAGGGACAGGUUCUCUGGGCUGUUGGCUGGUACCCCACAGCCCUGGGCUGGGGUGUUCCCCCUUGUGCCCAUGCCAAGGCAAGGCUUUCUGCGUGGAAGUCUGGCAGGUGUACAUUCGCUCCCCAGUGGGAAUGGGGAGCAGAGGUUUCGUUGAGGCAUCUCUUGGGAGUGCACAGUCCCUAAUUUCUGAAAUACCAUUGAUGAGAAGCAGCCCCAGUUUGGGUCUGAGUUAAUGGGUUAAAAGAGCAGAACUGUUUUCUUGGGCGCUGAAUAUUUCUUCUAGAUGUUCAGGUCCAUAACCAAGGCAGCUAAGUCAGCGAAUUGUCAGCAUUCCAGAAAGAAGCGUCAUCUCCUUGGGUGCUGAGGACCUCCGGGGCUGCAGCUGACUCUGCCCUCACACACCCUCCUUCUUGGCUUUCAUGAUUUAUUUUGUCAAGAAGAAUGAGGGAGUUAGGAGUGGCAUCUCUCAUAACAGCCUCCUCCCAUCUUCUGAGAGUGCUCAAGACGGAGCUUGCCUGCUGCUGGCGUGGGGAGCUGACAAAAUAUUUAAAUAAAGGCUCUGGGGGAAAAGGACAUGCUUAGAUUACAAAGAGAAAUUCCACGCCGUUAUGGUCUCAGCGUAUUAGGCGCCUCUGUAAUUGCACCUAUUCAGCACUGCCAUUUCUAGUCACCACGCAGCCAUCCGAGGGAAGACGGAUGCUCUAAAAAUGGCCCCGAGAACAGUCUUUUUAAAAAGGCAGUUAACGAUCUGGAGCUAUAAAUAGUGUCUUUCCAACAAAUAACAAAGAGGGUCGGUUCCCCUUUCGCCUCUGCUGUUGAGGCCCCGCAUCCUGGAGUAAGUGAGUGGGGUCAGGAGGGUUUGCACCUCCCCUAGAGUUUGAGUUCUUGGAGGCCUGAUGACACCCAGCGUGUUGCCUAGAGGUGGGGAUGAGACCCUGGCUGGCUGAACUGCCGCUCACCGUGUGUUUUUGGAGACACAUCCCUCCUGGUGGCACAACAGAAAACCACGACUCUAAGUCACUUGCCCCAGCCCUCUGACCUCUCUUCAGCCCAGACCAGCCCUUCUGCCAGUUAUAAAGCACCAGCCCUGCCAAGAGCAAAGAGAGGCUUGCUGGAUCCCGCUGUCUCUUCAUGGAGUUCCUGAAUCACAGAACCUCCCAGUUUGUCUGUUUGCCUCCCAUGUAUCAAGAACUCAGAGGUUCAGCCAAGCGCGGUGGCUCACGCCUGUAAUUCCAGCACUUUGGGAGGCCAAGGCGGGCAGAUCACCUGAGGUCAGGAGUUCGAGACCAGCCUGGCCAACAUGGUGGAACCCCAUCUCUACUAAAAAUACAAAAAAAACAGCGAGGUGUGGUGGCGGGAGCCUGUAACCCCACUACUCGGGAGGCUGAGGCGGGAGAAUCACUUGAACCCAGGAGGCGGAGGUUGCAGUGAGCCGAGAUGGCACCACUGCACUCCAGCCUGGAUGACAAGAGCGAGACUCCAUCUAAAAAAAAAGAAAGAAAGAAAUCAGAAGUUCUUUGACAUCAUUUUAAUUCAUACCUUCUCCAAAUCAGAACCACAAAAGCAGCAUUACCUACACCCAGAAUAGACACAGACAUCAACAGAAGCACAAAGUGAGAUGGAACCCUGUCUCCCAACCUGAGAGGGAGAGUUUGGGCUAAAACACGCCCAUGUGAGGACAGCAUUUGGAAAGUUAAUGCUAAGGAAAUAAGAAGGAUGGGAGUAAAAAGAGGACAAGCCCCGAUGUCCUGUUUAUCAGCUCCCCCUCUCUCCUCUCCUGUCUCAUCCGCUCCCGCCUUGAGGAUAGCGUGGUUUCCCUGGACUCCUUUCCAGACCAGCUGCAGCCCCAUUGGCAAUACCAACUUCCCUAGCUGGGGUUGGCUGGACGGUGUGGUUCUUGGCAGAAGAUGACACAUGGGUAGCAGAGUGACUUUGGCUCCUGCAUCGAGUGCUUGUCUCAGCCCCAUCCAUAGCCAUAUAGAAUCCUAGUGGUGAACAUGCAACACCCCUGAGAGCCACUGACCAGGCAGGCACUGGGGUGAGGGAAAGUGAGGGGACUGUGUGGGACCAGCUGUGCUGACGACAGCCUGCCACCCAAGGGAUGCCUGUCCCUGCACCCUGGCUUUGUUCCUGCACCUGGUCCCCAGGAAGCCAAAUCCAGUGCAUUUUUCCAGCUUCUGCUCAGAGACAGCCAGUGUCUGCAGAAGGGCCAAGGCCACUGGACGUCUGGAGAGAGUCUGGCCACAAUGGCCAAGUGGUGGACGUCUCCACAGGCUGCCCCGUGCCCCUGCAGAGGCAGGGCUUCAUGAAGCAGGAGCAGGCAGCUCAGACCUGGGCCGGGCCACCUGUGCAGGUAACUCCUUCACUGCUAUUGGUCGGUGGAAUUGUAAGAUCAGUUCUUCAGCAGGAUGCUGCGGGUUUUCUGAGGCCCGUGGCCAUCUGGAUUUGUGCUCCGAACAUAUUAUACCAUGUUAACAGCUUUUAAAGUAGAAACACAUGUGAUUCUGGAAGGCUGGGAUGGGGCAAUGGAGGAGACUGUUUAAAAUUGCUGUUUGGUAUCUCUCGUAGUACAGUAGCAAAGGUAAAAACCUAUUAUGGUCCACGGAAGCAGUUCAUUGCGUAAUGACAUCUUCAUAACUUGCCCUGCUAGCUGGCUUUUCUCACAGUCUCUGCGGGGAAGUUUUGUUCUUUUAAAAUAUUUUCUGGGGUGGUGGAGGGGGAGAGUUUGGAGGCGCUAAGCCCCUCCACUGAAACUCCUGGGAUGGGGGACUUGCAGUAACCCGUGCCCCUCCGAGGAGCCCUGGAGCGGGGUUGGUGGGGACACUUCCACCCACUUCCAUGGGGAUUUACAAGGUCUGCUUCAUGGACAUUUUCAAAACUCUUCUCUCUGCUACUUCCUCCCACCACCCCCAGAUCACCACGUUUUGGGAGAAGAGUGGUUGGGAAACAAAGACUCAGAUAUCAGCCUGCCUUUUAGAAAUCCCAGAUUUUAACCACCUACCAGCUGAGCAACCUUAGGCCAGUUAUAUAAUCCUCAGAGCCUCUGACUCCUUAUCUGCAAGAUGGGGUAACAGUAACACAUGCCUGCUAUUAUUUAUUACUGAUGUUGCUGUUUCUGAGCAGUAUAAUAAUGCUGCUAUUAUUAACAAUUACUGCCGGUAUGGAGAGGAGUCAUUAGGGCAAUGCCUGUACGGUUCCUCGCAGCUCAGUAAAGGCGGUGGUUGCCACCAGCACAAGCAUGCCUUGCAGGUUGGUUUUGGUUAUUUAAUCUUUGCCAAGUAAUGCAUUGUGGGUUUCUGUUCUGUGAGCAUCCCAGGAAAGGAGGCAAGCCAGUUUCGCCCCAGUGGAACUGGGGCAGGAAUAGAGGUGGAAAGAUGGAAAGCCCACCAUCCUCCCAGCUCCAAAGGAGCUGCUCCCUGCUUCAGGGGAAAUGGUGACUUUCCAGAGCCCAUCUAGCUGAUGAAGCAAAUGGCGGUGAGGUCGGUGCCCUCUGCACAGGCUGAUGUGCACAUUUAGGGAGUCAAGUAUGGAAACCUCUUGUUCUUGCACUGUCUGUUCUUGAGCAAUCAUGAAGAGACCUCACAAUCCAGAAGAAACCAAGCGAAGUGAUGAAACCACAGCCCUGAGAUGGAGAGAUGGCGGUGUGGGUGGGCCUGGGAGCUUUGCACAGGGUUCUGUCUAGGUGGAGGGUGGGAACAUUUGAUAUUUUUGCCCACCUGCCUGGAACACACUGUAUGUGCAGUUGCGUCACCCAUGUCUCAGUCCCUGAGGCCUGUCAGCCCCAAGCAGGCCCCAGAUAUCACAAAAAUCCCCGCUCUUGCUCUCCCGUCUUGCUGUUUUCUGACCCCAGCAUAUCCAUUUCUGUGCGGUUUAUUCUGAGAAAUCCUGUGUGAAUUGUGCUUGAACUAGCGGGUCAGAGACUGUCUCCCACCUCCACCCCCACCUGACCUUUCAUCCAGACUGCAAACAGGAAGCAAUAAGAAUUGUUUGCCCAGUUGCUGCUUUGAUCUUCUGGGCCCCUUUUGGGGUAGGAGGCUGUGCUAAUGAGGAAACAUGGGCCAGAAGUCCACAGGCAGGGGAGCUGUGAGGACGACAGAAAGGUAGGAAACCCGCAGCCAGGUGCUCCAAGAAAUGGUAGCGUGUGCCCAAGAGCAGUCUCUGCCGCCCCUCUUGAAGCAGCACCCCUUUAUCCAGAGGGGAUCGGCUGCAUGUUUAAUGAGAACUUUAGAGGCCUGGAAGGUGCCUACCUAAGCAAUAGCAGGUGGCAGUGGCCCCAUUUUAAAGAUGAGGAAACUGGCACCCAGAGAGGAUUGGUUCAGACGUUAUUCGAAUUUGCAGCUUUGGAGCCCAACAGGCCUGGAUUCAAAUUCCGGUUCUUUCUACUUAUUAUAUAUAUAAGCUACUUAACCUCUCUGACCCUCUCUGAUUUUCCUCAUCUGUAAAACAGGGAUAAGAACACUUCUUCAGAUGUGAUUGCUAUAGAUUAAAUGAGGGAACAUAUAUAAAGAGCCUGAUAUAUAGAAGUGUCCAAUAAAUAGCAGCUGUUGUUUUCCAUUUAUCUAUCCAUCUGCCCGUUCAUCCAUCCAUCCCCAUCCAUCUGCCCAUCCAUCCAUCCUUAUAUCCCUUCACCCAUCCGCACAUCCAGUAAACAGUGAUUGGUAAGCCAAGUGCUGUGGCAUCUCAAGAUGUUCAGAAAUGGAUCCUGGCCAAGAAGCUUAUGUGUCUAGAGACAUUUCUAAGACCGUACUUCCCAGGCCUCUUCUCAUGGUGCUUUCAUACACAGAGGAAGCAUUCUUCUCUUAGCAAAGGCAUUGCCUGCUGGUCCCAAGCAACUCCUACCCUGGGCACUGGUGUUGCCUGUGGCCUGAAACCAGGGAUCUCCCUCUCCUAGGCGACUGGAAGUGCAGAGCUGCGUAACACAGCCCUUCUUAGAUCUGUGCUGUCGUAGCACGCGACAGUGGGUCCCAGCUCUCCAGCAGAAUGCACCCACUGCUGCACAUGCUGUUGGCCAGCUUUCUGGAGGGUGGAGGAGAGCCAUCUUUUAAAAAUACUAUGUUGGGAAAAAAAAUACUUCUGUUUUCAUUUCACCAACAUAAAAAAAUGUAGUCACUGCAAACACUGACAGGCAAACUGGUGGCUAACAAAUCAGAUCCUCAGGGACUGCACGAAUGGAGAGAUAAGUCUUGGUGUGUGAAUUGCACACGGACUAUUUUUUUUUCCUUUUUUAAAAAUGCGUACAGGCCGGGUGCGAUGGCUCAUGCCUGUAAUCCCAGCACUUUGGAAUGCCGAGGCAGGCGGAUCACCUGAGGUCAGGAGUUCGAGACCAGCCUGACCAACAUGACGAAACCCUGUCUCUACUAAAAAUACAAAAGUUAGCCAGGUGUGGUGGCGCAUGCCUGUAAUCCCAGCUACUCAGGAGGCUGAGACAGGAGAAUCGCUUGAAUCCAGGAGGUGGAGAAUGCAGUGAGCAGAGAUCGCACCACUGCACGCCAGCCUGGGUGACAGAGCAAAACUUCGUCUCCAAAA